GGUGGCUUAGUGGUAGAGUGCUUGCCUAGCAUGCAUGAAGCCCUGGGUUCGAUUCCUCAGUACCA
Dipodomys ordii (Ord's kangaroo rat) is the source of this 65-nucleotide non-coding RNA. The record is from Rfam. Lineage: Eukaryota; Metazoa; Chordata; Mammalia; Rodentia; Heteromyidae.